ACGCUGGCGGUAUGCUUAACACAUGCAAGUCGAACGGAAACGAUACUAGCUUGCUAGUAGGCGUCGAGUGGCGGACGGGUGAGUAACGCGUAGGAAUCUGCCUGAUAGUGGGGGAUAGCCCGAAGAAAUUCGGAUUAAUACCGCAUAAUCUAUUCGUAGUAAAGUGGGGGACUUUCGAGCCUCACGCUAUCAGAUGAGCCUGCGUAAGAUUAGCUUGUUGGUAGGGUAAAAGCCUACCAAGGCGACGAUCUUUAGCUGGUCUGAGAGGAUGAUCAGCCACAUCGGGACUGAGACACGGCCCGAACUCCUACGGGAGGCAGCAGUGGGGAAUAUUGGACAAUGGGGGCAACCCUGAUCCAGCAAUACCGCGUGUGUGAAGAAGGCCUGAGGGUUGUAAAGCACUUUCAAUUGUGAAGAAAAGUUAGCGGUUAAUAACCGUUAGCCUUGACGUUAACUUUAGAAGAAGCACCGGCUAACUCCGUGCCAGCAGCCGCGGUAAUACGGAGGGUGCAAGCGUUAAUCGGAAUUACUGGGCGUAAAGCGUGCGUAGGUGGUUUAUUAAGUCAGAUGUGAAAGCCCCGGGCUUAACCUGGGAACUGCAUUUGAAACUGGUCAACUAGAGUAUGGUAGAGGAAAGUGGAAUUUCUGGUGUAGCGGUGAAAUGCGUAGAUAUCAGAAGGAACAUCAAUGGCGAAGGCAGCUUUCUGGACCAAUACUGACACUGAGGUACGAAAGCGUGGGUAGCAAACAGGAUUAGAUACCCUGGUAGUCCACGCCGUAAACGAUGAUAACUAGCCGUUGGGGGGAUUUACCCUUUAGUGGCGAAGCUAACGCGUUAAGUUAUCCGCCUGGGGAGUACGGCCGC
Molecule: ribosomal RNA, 865 nt
Filed under: uncultured Gammaproteobacteria bacterium
Lineage: Bacteria; Pseudomonadati; Pseudomonadota; Gammaproteobacteria
Description: bacterial SSU rRNA
Rfam family: Bacterial small subunit ribosomal RNA
Source: RNAcentral